Molecule: ribosomal RNA, 373 nt
Filed under: uncultured organism
Description: partial 16S ribosomal RNA
Rfam family: Bacterial small subunit ribosomal RNA
Source: RNAcentral
GUAGGGUGGCAAGCGUUGUCCGGAAUUAUUGGGCGUAAAGCGCGCGCAGGCGGUCCUUUAAGUCUGAUGGGGAAAGCCCACGGCUCAACCGUGGAGGGUCAUUGGAAACUGGGGGACUUGAGUACAGAAGAGGAAAGCGGAAUUCCAAGUGUAGCGGUGAAAUGCGUAGAGAUUUGGAGGAACACCAGUGGCGAAGGCGGCUUUCUGGUCUGUAACUGACGCUGAGGCGCGAAAGCGUGGGGAGCAAACAGGAUUAGAUACCCUGGUAGUCCACGCCGUAAACGAUGAGUGCUAAGUGUUAGGGGGUUUCCGCCCCUUAGUGCUGCAGCUAACGCAUUAAGCACUCCGCCUGGGGAGUACGGCCGCAAGGCUG